RNAcentral lists this transfer RNA (72 nucleotides) under Aclista sp. M227. RNAcentral's name for it is "tRNA-Phe". The record is from RNAcentral. Lineage: Eukaryota; Metazoa; Arthropoda; Insecta; Hymenoptera; Diapriidae.
AUUUAAAUAGUUUAAUUAAAAUAUUAUAUUGAAGAUAUAAUGAUAUAUUUUUAUUUUAAAUAUUUAUAAAUG